GCAGUGAUUGAGCCAUUCAAAUUUGCAAACUAGCACACACUUUCAAGCUCAUUUUUGACUAGAAAAAAGUAGCAGAAAAGAUUUAAGCGAGAACAAACCAAUAACAUGAUCAUCACCAAAGAGAAACACAAUUCACAACAGAAAUAAAAGAAAGGAAUAGAAAUGAACCUGUUAAGCUGAAAUCCUUCUAAAUAACAAUGGAAAAAUCAGCAAAUACACACUCCUCGAAUCGAAAGAAAAUCCGACGAGAAACAGCAAGCAAAAUCGAAUGACGGAACCAGAACUCGAACGACGAACACGACUCCGACCUCGAACAAACUCGAAUGGCGAACGAAUCUUGGCUCAAUCAACCUCCAUGUUGAAGCCGAAACCAAAAGAAGAAACUAAAAUAUUUUUUGGGAUAUUUUCUGAUUUUUUAAAAUGGAGACAAGUUGAAACAAAAAUCUAAACUCAAACUAUUUUUUUGGUAUUUUUGUUUUUCUGGAAUUUGAACUCAACUGAAAAUGGACCAAAAUGAGAAGAAAAGAAGAAACUCCCUCUUAAAACCCAAAUUUCUUUCCAAACCCUUUUCUCCAAAUUCUCUCCCAAAUUUCUGUCCCAAAAACCUCAAAUAUAUAUAGCAGCCCUAGAAACUUCCUCCUCCUCUCCAAGAAAACUCGUGUGGCCCCCAACAAGAUCCGAAAAUCCCACUUUUAACAAAAAUCAGAAAAUGGAAGUCUUGGAUCAAAAUUUUAAUCCAACGGCUCCCAAUUUCCAACAUUUAUCUCAAGGAUUCGAAUUUUUUGUUUAAACAAAAGAAAUAAAAGAAGAAAUCUACGUGAAUCGAAUUGAAAUGAUGAGAUUUGGUACAAUUUGAGUGACGUGGAAGAAGGAGAGGAAAGUAGGAGGGCCAGUGAGUGAACUCGACGGGUUUGGUGAGUUUUCCGGCGAGUUUGGGUAGCUUAGAGGUGGGCUGAAGCUUGAGAGGUUGGGAUGCGCCGUUUGGGUGUUCUUCAUUAGGGUUAGGGUUUGAAAAAAUGAUAUUUAUAUGGGGCGAGGGACUGAC
Molecule: long non-coding RNA, 1045 nt
Filed under: Nicotiana tabacum (common tobacco)
Lineage: Eukaryota; Viridiplantae; Streptophyta; Magnoliopsida; Solanales; Solanaceae
Description: long non-coding RNA (NTAB_LNC005548)
Source: RNAcentral